CAUCCAGACUCCUACGGGAGGCAGCAGUGGGGAAUAUUGCACAAUGGGGGAAACCCUGAUGCAGCGACGCCGCGUGAAGGAAGAAGUAUUUCGGUCUGUAAACUUCUAUCAGCAGGGAAGAAAAUGACGGUACCUGACUAAGAAGCCCCGGCUAACUACGUGCCAGCAGCCGCGGUAAUACGUAGGGGGCAAGCGUUAUCCGGAUUUACUGGGUGUAAAGGGGGCGCAGACGGCAGCGCAAGCCAGGAGUGAAAGCCCGGGGCCCAACCCCGGGACUGCUCUUGGAACUGCGCGGCUGGAGUGCAGGAGGGGCAGGCGGAAUUCCUGGUGUAGCGGUGAAAUGCGUAGAUAUUAGGAGGAACACCAGUGGCGAAGGCGGCUUACUGGACGGCAACUGACGCUGAGGCUCGGAAGCGUGGGGAGCAAACAGGAUUAGAUACCCCAGUAGUA
This 450-nucleotide ribosomal RNA is filed under the name uncultured bacterium. RNAcentral describes it as "partial 16S ribosomal RNA". It matches the Rfam family "Bacterial small subunit ribosomal RNA", at positions 328 to 795 of the family's 1533-position model. The record is from RNAcentral.